RNA transcript from Dermochelys coriacea (leatherback sea turtle), 3037 nucleotides. It is a transcript of the gene named cyclin Y, with no coding region annotated. The transcript has 11 exons. The record is from RefSeq and is a predicted model, not a curated record. NCBI's taxonomy places the organism in Eukaryota, Metazoa, Chordata, Testudines, Dermochelyidae.
ACGGGCAGGCGCGGGCCGCCCAUGAGCUGCUCCCCCCUCCCCCCCCGCUCUGUUCCCUUCCAGGGCAGCCGCCGCCGCCGGGGGAGGGGCCACAGCCCUGCGCCUGGGGCUUCCCCUCUCCCGAGUCGCAGCAGCAGCGGCCCAGCGGGGCGCACCCCGGGAGCGGGCGGAGCCGCUGCACGCGCCCCGUGUCUCUCUUCGCAGCCCGGCGGGCAGAUGUUGCCACCCGCUUGAACCGGAACCGUUUUUGCACGGGCAGCCUGGGAGGCUGCGGUGCCGCCGCCGCCGCCGUGUGCGCCGGGGGAGUGGAUCCAGCCCGCGCCUUGGGAGGAGGAGCGCGCCCGCUCCGCCGCUGGCAAUGGGGCCGUGCCCGCCCCAGGCUUAGCCGGCUUGUGCCCUACCUGCCCGGGCAGGAUGAUUUAGCUGCUGCGCCCUCCGCUGGGCUGGACCUGCUCGGGGCACGGCUUCUUGGAUGAGCCGCCGUGGGCACCAGCCGGGGAGUGCGGCUGGAGGGAGCGGCCGCCGCCGCCUCUUCCUCUCCUGCUUGUUGUUUUCUCCGCUGCUGCCCAUGGCUUCUCGCCCCCGCUGGUGACGGGCUCCCCCCGCCCCCCCCCCCCGCAUCCUGCCGCGCCUGGCCCGGCGGCGAAGGAAAAUGGGCAACACCACCUCCUGCUGCGUCUCCUCCAGCCCCAAGCUCCGCAGGAAUGCGCACUCCCGGCUCGAGUCCUACCGCCCGGAGCCCGAGCUGAGCCGCGAGGACACCGGCUGCAACCUGCAGCACAUCAGCGACCGGGAGAACAUAGACGAUUUGAACAUGGAGUUCAACCCAUCGGAUCACCCACGGGCCAGCACAAUAUUCCUCAGUAAAUCUCAAACAGAUGUGAGAGAAAAACGCAAGAGUCUCUAUAUAAACCACCAUCCUCCUGGGCAACUGAGAAGGAAAUACAGUUCCUGCUCCACUAUUUUCCUGGAUGACAGCACAGUCAGUCAACCAAACCUCAAGUAUACAAUUAAAUGUGUAGCUCUUGCAAUAUAUUACCACAUCAAAAACAGGGAUACAGACGGAAGGAUGCUCUUAGAUAUUUUUGAUGAAAACCUUCACCCCCUUUCGAAAUCCGAAGUGCCACCAGACUAUGACAAACACGACCCAGAGCAGAAACAGAUUUACCGCUUUGUUCGGACAUUAUUCAGUGCUGCUCAACUGACUGCUGAAUGUGCCAUUGUCACUCUGGUAUAUCUUGAAAGACUGUUAACUUACGCAGAGAUAGAUAUUUGUCCAGCAAACUGGAAGCGAAUUGUACUGGGUGCAAUUCUACUGGCAUCCAAAGUUUGGGACGACCAGGCAGUGUGGAAUGUGGAUUACUGCCAGAUCCUGAAAGAUAUCACAGUUGAGGACAUGAAUGAGCUGGAGCGCCAGUUUCUAGAGUUGUUGCAGUUCAACAUUAAUGUUCCCUCCAGUGUUUAUGCCAAGUAUUAUUUUGAUUUGCGUUCCCUGGCAGAAGCGAAUAACCUGAGCUUUCCUUUGGAGCCCCUCAGCAGGGAAAGGGCAUAUAAACUUGAGUGCAGGUUCAAAGCAGCUCUAAGGUAGUAUAGCUGGCCAUAAGAACAACCCAGAGUAGGGGACCUCACAGUGAUGUAGACCUGGUGUAAUGGCUCUUAGACUAUGUGCACAUCCUGUGACUGGGAAAAGGGGGACAUGACUGAGGCUUCCCUGCUGCUUGACAGUCCCUGGCUACCAUAAUGGUCCCUUGGAGACAUUGGCCAUCUCUCGCUUGUGUGAAGAUAAGUAUAAAGACUUCAGGAAAUCUACAAAGAAACGGUCAGUUAGUGCUGACAAUCUGACUCUGGUUAGAUGGUCCCCUGCCAUCAUCUCCUAACAAUGGAGUCUGGGAUAUUUCGACAGACGGACUGUUUCAUCCAUCCAAAUUUUUUGGAGUGUAAUGGGGGAAAGACAAGACUUUGGGGUUUUUAUUUUUAGAUCCGUCAAGCUGCCUUUACAGUGCCUCCCCCUUGUGUAGCACAUAAGAAUAAAAAAUUGAGUGGAAAGAGAAAUCAGUACAGUAUACAGGAAAGGAGAUUGGAAGCAACUCUUGGUCACUAUUCCUCACAGCUUUACCCUUUUUGUGAGGAAACAGCUAGUCAAAUGCUUGGAAGACUUAAAAAAAAAAAAAAAAAAAAAAUGGAGUAGCGGCAGAAAGAGAUUAAGGGUCUGUGCCAUUUUUUUAAUAUUCUGUACUCUUCAGCAGAAAUGACGGCAUGAAACCAAACCACGUAAUAAGUUUGGCUGUGCACUGUAGGAAUGGAGUUGAAUUAUUUCAUCUUAAAUUAUUCUCCUUAGUAUCUUUUUUUUUUCCCCUGUUUCUUUGGGUUAUUUUUCCAGCUCUUCUGCACAGCAGCAAAUACAAAGUCUGUAUCUACAGUAGCACAAACCUCUGAAUAAAUAGUAUUGGUGGGUUUUUUCAUUGCACUUUUCUCCGUGAGCUGACUUAUUUGCAUUAUUCUCAUAAUCAUUAUGCAUAUGUUAUGUUUUAUAUUCCUUUUAUUGUACUUAAAAAUAUAACUUGACCAUAGUGCUGAACCAAAAGUUUAUACUGAGAUCAGAUGAUCAUUCGUAAUUUCAUUAUGUAGUUUAUUUAUAGUAUAUGUAGGUGUGUGUGUCUUCCUGGAAUCAUUUAUAUUUCCUUAAUAUAAAGACAGGAUUGUGGAAGGAUUCAAUGAUGAUGAGACUUGGGCCAAAUUGUUGAAAUUUCCAUCAGAUCUUAUAGUCCUUUUUGCAAAUUUUCAUAGCAUUAGAAGUUUAGAAGAAUUCAUUAUAUGAAAGAGAGUUUUUUGUAGGGCCCAGCUAGUUCAUUCCUUCACCUCCAGAUCCAUUGUUGCAAGCAAUAGCCUCAAUUUUUAUAUGUUUACUUUAAAUCGAAGUUAGUUUAUUUGUAUAAAAUAAAAAACUUAAAAAAAAAAAAUUGUUCCAUGAAAAGGUUCAUAGAAGAGCAGAAUGUUAAUGUUUACCAAGGUAUUUGUCACAGGUAGAUUGAAUUGG